This 71-nucleotide transfer RNA is filed under the name Caudoviricetes sp. RNAcentral describes it as "tRNA-Gln". It matches the Rfam family "tRNA". From Rfam's summary of the family: Transfer RNA (tRNA) molecules are approximately 80 nucleotides in length. The record is from RNAcentral. Lineage: Duplodnaviria; Heunggongvirae; Uroviricota; Caudoviricetes.
UGAUCCUUGGUGUAACGGUAGCACCGCAGACUUUGGUUCUGCUGGCCCCGGUUCGAAUCCGGGAGGGUCAA